Long non-coding RNA from Betta splendens (Siamese fighting fish), 1303 nucleotides. RefSeq lists it as uncharacterized. The transcript is spliced from 4 exons. Lineage: Eukaryota; Metazoa; Chordata; Actinopteri; Anabantiformes; Osphronemidae. The record is from RefSeq and is a predicted model, not a curated record.
UCAGCAGAGGAGGUGACCAGUUGUAUUCUUGAUUUUGUGUACAAAUUUGGUGUACCUCAAAGACUGCUAACAGACCAAGGGACAGAAUUCAAGAACCGGGUAAAACAGUACAUUCAACAUUACAUGAGUAACCAUAUUGGAAACACUAAUAAUAAUUUACAUGGUCAUAUUUAAAGCUUAAUUCCAGACUCUGUCAGGUGUUAGGGAUAAAAAGGAGCUUUUGCACUCCAUACCAUCCGCAAACAAAUGGUUUGGUGGAAAAACUAAAUGGCACCAUCCAGAGAUCUCUAAACAAGCUUGUCCAGAAAACCCCCCAAAAAUGGGACAAGUAUUUGCAGUGCACAAUGUUUGCACUAAGGACCAAAAAGCAGCUAACCACGCAGUAUAGUCCUUAUUUUUUAAUAUUUGGCAGAGAAGCCUGAUGUCCCUCAGAAGUUGCAGUGAACUAUGACGUAAGCACAGAAAUCGUGAAAGAACUAGUAAAGAAGGAGACUGUCUUUGAAGGGCUGCUGGCGCGCGAGUCUGUGUAUAAAGAUGCUCAGCGCAACAUCAAAAAAUCUCAGGAGCGCUUUGCGAAGAGAAAACUUACCAAAGGCCUUGAAACUACAAUGUUGGUGACAAAGUGCUGAAAAAAAACAUUAGAGAUGAACAGCGGAAAGGAGGGAAGCUGGACACUGAUAUGCUUGGGCCCUAUGAAAUUAUCAGCAUUCAGGGCAAAACUGUGACCCUUGAAAACAAACAUGAAAGGACGGUUGCAAACACCGACCAAAUUGUUCAUUUUGUUGAGCCAGAGGAAAGAGUACCAGCUAAGCUCAAGAAAACUCAAUGUGAAUCUGAUUCCCCAUCUCCCAGCACAACCGACCAUGAAAAAGGCCCUGCUCCACAGCUUGGCAUGACUGUAGCAAAACCUGGAACCACUCACAUGGUAAAGAAAGUAUGGAGCGAAAGCAAAGGGGAGAUUUUGUGGGCUAAGCUGGGGCCUUACAAAAUCUUCACCGAAGAUUUACAGAGCCUGGCACCAGACAGAGUUGGAGAGUGAGGUAAAUUUCAUUUGUCCUUGACCUUUGCCUUUUUGAUAUAAUAUUUACCUUUUCAUUAAUUCUUUAAUAUGGGCUUGUUUCCUAGAUAGUCAAUUCUUACCUUUGGUGUGUGACCAGACCGUUACACGGUGUCAAAGUCAUUGACACUUUUCAAAUUACCAACAUUUGGAACGACACAUCAAGGGAGAUGAGACGGGUACAUAUCACUUAUUUUAUUUAGAAGGUUGUUAUUACAGGUCACUCUCUGCUGAACUCAAAUAUUC